Molecule: non-coding RNA, 1239 nt
Organism: Manis javanica (Malayan pangolin)
Lineage: Eukaryota; Metazoa; Chordata; Mammalia; Pholidota; Manidae
Source: RefSeq, a predicted model, not a curated record
GUUGAGGUGUAUCUGGGAAGGUCGCGGAGGAGGUGGAAUUUGAGGAGGUUCGGGGUGGUGAGCUCUCAGGGAACCUGGACGGGGUCCCACCCUAGGCACCCUGAUCGGAGGACUGGACUGCAGAAAGGGCAGUUGGGUGAGGUCAGUGGAGUUCAGGGUUCGAGGCAGUUUCCUACAUUUCCGAUUAUCCAGAGCAGGAAGGCUGAGUAGGCAGGGUACCCGCGUCUUCAGCCCAGGAAGGUGGUUCCCAUACUGGUUUCCUGGAGGGCUCGGAGAACUCCUUGCACCUUCCUCACGAUUAUUAUGGCCAGGACACACCACCUCCUCUGGCCCCCCUCCACCCAGCUGGCCUUUGUCACAACCUCAGAUCUGAUGGGGGCACUUGUCCCCUGGACUUGCUUCCUGCCCCUUGGCAGCCUCCCUGCUUUUCAGCACCCCCAGAGGUGAGACAGGCCUUCACUCUGGUUGCCGGCUGGAUUUACAACUGAGGUGCACACAGGAUUUUCUCUUCCACCUCCUGAGCUUGGUGGGGAGUUAGUUACCUGUCACCUCUGACCUCCUCGCGCCACUUCGUCCCAAUCAGAGAUGUCCCCACAGUGCAGGCUCGGCCCCCAGGAGCCCCUUGCUAUUUCAUGCCCAUUCUUCACCAAAGGUGAACUAACUGCAGGCCAGACUGGCAGCUCAGGAUGGGGUGCUUGAGUGUUUCCCACCACAAGGAAGUGCGCUGACUAAUCUGUCUUUGGCCACUCGGCCUGUGAUCCAAGCUGCUUGUGGGGGUCCCUGGGCAAGUGUUUCAGCAUGUGACCUGAGAUGUCCUGUCAGAAGCAACUUCUGCUAGACGGGGUCAGGGGUGGCUUUAAGGUCUGCUCCGUGUCACAGCAUCGCAGAGCUGAUGGGGCCCUACCCUGGAAAGCUGGACAGAGACCCAGCCCCCAGAGCUCUGACCAGCUGCGCCCCCUGCCUCACAUCCACGGCUAGGCUCCCCUUGAGGCCAAGACGACUCUGAAGGGAGGCUUUUAGGACCAAGUGCUGCCUGCCACCUGUUUGCUGCUGAGGGCGUGAAGCCGAGCACCUGGCACUGAUGUCCCCCGGGCACACAGCUACAGUAUCCCAAGCUCUUGGAGCUACAAGGACCGGAGCCCUGCCCUGUCAGGGCGAGCCGUGGCGGGGCGGGGGGUUGGUUUCCAGCAUUGUGGACACAAAGAAAGCACAAUGCGGUAAAUAAAGACCAUGCACGCA